This 465-nucleotide ribosomal RNA is filed under the name uncultured bacterium. Its description in RNAcentral is "bacterial SSU rRNA". It matches the Rfam family "Bacterial small subunit ribosomal RNA", at positions 62 to 562 of the family's 1533-position model. The record is from RNAcentral.
UCGUACGCGAACGACCUUUCGGGGUUAAGUAGAGUGGCGAACGGGUUAGUAACGCGUGGGAACAUACACAGCACAGGGGGAUAACCAUUGGAAACGAUGGCUAAUACCGCAUACGCCCUAUUGGGGAAAGAUUUAUCGGUGUUGGAUUGGCCCGCGUUAGAUUAGCUAGUUGGUGGGGUAAUGGCUCACCAAGGCGACGAUUUAUAGCUGGUUUGAGAGGAUGAUCAGCAACACUGGAACUGAGACACGGUCCAGACUCCUACGGGAGGCAGCAGUCGGGAAUAUUGUGCAAUGGGGGCAACCCUGACACAGCCAUGCCGCGUGAGUGAAAAAGGCCUUAGGGUUGUAAAGCUCUUUCAGAUGUGAGGAUGAUGACGAUAGCAUCAGAAGAAGCUCCGGCUAACUUCGUGCCAGCAGCCGCGGUAAUACGAAGGGAGCUAGCGUUGUUCGGAAUUACUGGGCGUA